Alexandromys fortis (reed vole) is the source of this 3257-nucleotide long non-coding RNA. RefSeq lists it as uncharacterized. NCBI's taxonomy places the organism in Eukaryota, Metazoa, Chordata, Mammalia, Rodentia, Cricetidae. The record is from RefSeq and is a predicted model, not a curated record. The transcript is spliced from 3 exons.
GUUCAGGACUGGAUUUUGUCUCCCGAAUUUGUUUCUGUUGCGUGCCUGAGGUCUGGGCUGUGCCUAAGGACUUACUGCUACCCAGGAACUGAACAUUGCUGGGCCCUGCCAUGGCCUCAGAGAGUGACCCUAAUUCUUCCAUGGACCUGUGCAAAACAGAAAACAGAACAAGGACGGAAGGAGGCAUAUGAACAACAAGAGAGGUGUGCUGUGGGAAUUGUAGAAUCCUCUCUCUGGGUAAUGAUGUAAGAUCUGUCCUGUAGAAGAGGAUACUUGUAUUUGUUCUGAGGGACCAAAAGCAUAUAAAGAAGUAACUUGGGAGGCAUCAAAAAAGACAAUAAAACCUGGAUUUCCAUAAUUGAAUUGACUGCUUAUGUCCUUUUCCUGUGUGACACAAAACUAAGUUAAUGUAAGUGGGUAACAGUCCUUUGGCGUUGAGAUGGCACAAUUGUCUCUUUUAGGAUGCUUAGGACAGGGGUCAAUUGAGCCAACAUUCCUGUAGGAAGUACAGGUGUAUUCAAAAUAUAAAGGGAUACAAUUAAGUCACAGUGAACUUCUAUCGGUUGAAUAUUUUGAUUAGCUUUCUCAAUCUCUACACAGGGCGUGAGACUUAGAAGUGAGGAUACUCGAAGAGGCUAGGUCAGAACCUCCAUUAGCAACAUAAAAAGAGGUAAUGGUACCCUGACUCUCAAGUACCUUUACAGAUAUGAGAGUAUGGCAUUUAACAAAAGAGCUUCAUAUGACAGAGAGACAUGCUAGCUCCUGCAGCAUCCUGUAGCUCCUCCAAGAAGAUGCAUGGUUGCAGAAGAUCUUCCACCUGGAGGCUUGCCUUUGGGUAUGGCAAAGCCACUCACACAACAAAAAGCUGCCUUCCACCUCAUCAGCUUCCUGGAUACUACACCGGGCCUCGAACAUCUCAUGCUACCAAGAUAGGUAGACUGAACCCUACCUGCACAGAAAAAUCUUAGGGCCUCCUGGUCCCAUCAGCUAAAUGCAAGUACUGCUUUUAAGACUGGUGUGUGCUAAAGACUAUGGUGAGACUUGGGAUUGCCUGUGAAACUGAGAAAAGCUGUCUCGCUUCUACUCAUUUAUUUAUCCCGCUCAGAUUUGUCUGAUGGCAUUGGAUGACUUAAGGUACUGGUAAUACUACUUCUUUUGUUAAGUUUCCUGCUAAAAAUAUAGACAGGUGUGCCUCCUUCACAGGUUUCAUAGUCCAGGAUUAAUAGGCUUCAGGUGUAUCUUUAGAGGUUCAGAGUUUCAAAUUUCCUUUAUUUGGUCUGGUAAAAAACUAAGUCUCCAGAACCUAUUUGAAACCCACCCAUUUUCAAGCAUAUUUUACAGGUCACUCUUGCUGUCUGGGCCAAAACCAACUUAUAGAGGGCUCUCCAGAUAAUGUCAGCACCUGCACCAGCUCCUGGGACUUCACCCAUUGGUACCACCUCUCCUGGCUCAAAUGGACACCUACCCAACAACUAAAAUCUGGUUUUAAAGGGCAUAUCUUGUUUUUUUCACUCGUGCCUCUGCUGUGCAACCAGGACACUUCUCUGUCCUAUUCUUUCUGGCAGUUAAUCACUCUCCCCAUGGAUAGCCCUAUUCAUAGGGCUGGUAAUAACAAUCUAUUUUUUUCUCCUAGCAACCUGCCUUCUCAUCUCCCUCAAGGAACAGAUGCCUGGGAUCUCCAAGAUUGCAUUUAACUGGAUGCCUCUCCAGCCACACCUCCUGCUUAGUGUGAGCCCACCAACUCCCUACUGUCCCCUCCCCAUGUCACCCUGUGCCCACAGGAAGUAGUCAGACUUGAGCUGGUGCCCCUAUAUACUCAAAGAGUCUGGGAUGUUUGGGUGGAAGUCCCAUUACAAGCCCCCUUCCCUGGGAGUUGCCUCAGUCCAGACUCCACCUCUGAGAAAGCCCGCCAAACAAUGACCCCUCCCCAGAGAUGCUCAACACCCCUCCCAUAGGGUAUUUACAUUGUAUCCCAGAGAUCAAACUUGUCUUUCUCUGGUCUUCCUUCCCUGUCUCUUCUCUGGGGAAGGUCAUUCAGGAGCACUGGUAUCCAUUAAACCCGGGCUUUUUCUAAUUUGGUUUGAUUAGUUUGAUUUGGAUUAUUGUGUUGACGGAGAGGUUUAUUAGGGUGCAGAAACUUUUCAGAAACUUUAGUUCAUGGGUAUAAGGUAGUAACUGCAAUGGAGGAAUAGAGAUUUUCAGGGCUUGUCAAUAGGUAACGUUCCUCUUGAAGACGUAAGUGUGGUGAGCCCACAAGUGUUAUACAGUAAAUGUACAGCUGACAGAUCUACUGGACUCUCCACGGGAAGUGUAUACAUACACCCUGUCUGGAGAAUCUGUUUUUUGCAGAGCUGCAAGAACAUCUGUCCUUUGGAGAAGUCACUGUCAAUUGUGUGAAAAUCUUGUGAAAUCAUGGCGUUUCUCCCUUCUAUAGUAUCCCAGCAGUGUAUAAACCCGACUUUUUCUGUAGGGCAGCUGGAUACCUCCACCCACACCAUGAAGCCAUGGUGUGAAAAGGAUUCAGUCAAGUCCUCAUUCUCAUACUCAAAAUCUACAUAAAAAUAGUCCCCCACAGCCUUUCUUUAUUGACAGUAGUCACUGAUAAGAAAGGAGCCUCAUACAGGAGGUAAUAUGUCUGCUCUAACAGCCUCAUACAGGAGGUAAUAUGUCUGCUCUAACAGCCUCGUACAGGAGGUAAUAUGUCUGCUCUAACAGCCUCGUACAGGAGGUAAUAUGUCUGCUCUAACAGCAGGCUCAGGAAGGUGGACUCUCCUGGUCUUCUGCUCUGACUUCACAGGUACUAAUAUUCUGUAUUUACCCUUUACCUUGGUUUCAAUUAACAUAAGAUCAUAGCCCAGGAAAUUAACUGUUUAUACAGGGAAAAGGCCUGAGUCGCUAAAACUAGCUUCAGAGAGAAAAAAUUCUCACCUGGGCACCCUGCUGGAGUAAAAAGAAGAGAUUCCUUUUAACUCAACCAGCUAGACGCUAAUGCAAAUCAAGUCUUUGGGUCAGAACAGCUGCCAAGGCUGUGUUCCCAACUGCGGGGAAACUUCACAGCCACGCCCCCUCUGAUGCCUCCUUGCUAGAUCCACCUUGUGACCCUGUGAAAAUGCAUGCUUGAUAUCACUGUUCCCACCUAUGGUAUUGUUAACUUGUCUGUGUGCCUAUUAAACUGAAAGCUUUGUGGAGAUCACCCUUAUGCUGUACCCUUAUGUCUGAUGCUUUGCCCUUAUGCCUUAUGGCCUAAUGUUCAUCUU